Long non-coding RNA from Mirounga angustirostris (Northern elephant seal), 3224 nucleotides. RefSeq lists it as uncharacterized. Lineage: Eukaryota; Metazoa; Chordata; Mammalia; Carnivora; Phocidae. The transcript has 3 exons. The record is from RefSeq and is a predicted model, not a curated record.
CAGCGCGAGGCGGGGCGUGGGUGCUCUCUCUCAGCCUCGGUGCUGGCGGGGGCCGAGGCCCUUCUGGAAAGGCCCCGGCGGCCUCUGUCACUUCGUCAUUUCUGAGAGUUCAGUGGGUUAGGGGAAAGAUGACGUUUUCUCUCGCCGGUCUCCAAAGGUCAGUGGAAGGUCACUGGUGGGACCGGGAGGACACAAGCUGAUGUCACACAGACCCAGAGACUUCCACGAGCCCUGGGGGAAAGCCUGAGGCAAGUCUUAUCUAACACAGCCCCUGAGAGCCGCCGAAGGCUGAAUCACCUCGCACUUCCGGAAAGAGGAGUUAAUGUCGCUGGCCCGUGCGCUUGCCCGGUGAUCCCAAAUCCCGCUGCUCGGGCGGGAGAGAGGUCAAAAGGCCAUUUGGUUCAACCCCCCGCCUGCGGGCAGGCCUCCCCCAGCAAAGGCACCGUGCGUGUUCCCUCGCGGGGCCACAGGUGAGGAUGGGCGGGGAAGCAGCCGGGAGCACCUGGAGGGAAUGAGGAAGCGGCAAUCCCCAGCACCUGCUCACAGUGCGUUGGGUGCGCAGGGUCGCGCUGCGGUGGGCGCGGGGCCUCUGUGCGGAAGGCCCGCGGUGUCGGGAGAACAGCCGCGGCCACGGCGGCCACACACACGACAGCAUUGGGACAGCAGUAAAAGCAAAAAUGCCUUGAGCACUUGCCAUGCGGUGCGGCGGCUGGACAGGCGAACCCCAUCUCACUGACUCGUCCAAACAAGCCCGUGGGCUGGAGGGGCAGGUACUGUUAGAAUUAUCCCCAAACUGAGGCUCCGAGAGGGAGGGAAUCUGCCCAGCGUCGCCUCGCUGGGAGGAAGGGGGCCCAGGACGUGGACCCAGGCGGGGCUGGCCUCAGAGCUGCGGGGUGGCUGGCCAGGGGCUCUGCCUCCCGUGGGGGCGCCCCGUGCUCGGCGGCCUCCGUGGCUUCCUGGCCGCUGCUGGACAGGUGGUUGGAGGAGACCCAGGUUACACGGCUGAUACACAGAGGGUCAGACGUCCCCCCACCCCCAGGCCUCCCUUGAGCCCCUCCUGUUCCUCCGCGUGCAGUACCCUCCGGCAGAUCUGAAUGCCCCAUGCUCCGUGGCGGAGGUGGAGGCAACUUCCCCCCACCAGGACGUACUCUCCCUACGCUCGCUUCACUGAGGUGGAUCCAGCACGUACUGUGUUCCCAUCAGACAUACGAGAGAAGCUGUGCCGUGUGUGAGAGGGGUCAGGUCACCAAGAGGAGCACUUGUCAAGAUGCAGAAGGACAUUGAGAGUCACCCAGCCACUGACAGAGCCUCAGGCGAGAGCUGGACCCCAGAAAAGGCAGCACAGAGAUUGAGAGGGACGAGGAGGGACGGGGCCAAGAGUGACUUGGAGUCCCAGAUGGCCACGGUGGGGAUGCCACCUAAUGUGGGAACCCAAGGAGAAGUGACAUUUGUCAGGAAGGCCCCAUCAGUAGGGGGCAUCCCAGGAAAUAGUAUACAGCCAUGAAGAAGAAUGACGGGCUCUUUAUAUGACAACAUGGAAGGAACUUCAAAACAGAUGAAUGAACAACCACAAAGCUCCAAACCAGCAGCCGGAAAGAGCAGCCCUUGAAGGUUUCACUGUUUCGAGGCGGUAGAAGCGGUUAUGCGAGUCGUGUUGUGGGGCGCUCUCCUCCCUCAGAUCACCUGGACAGCUGUCUGCUCACACGAACAGCACCCGGGAAAUGUAGACAGCGAUUCAAGCCAGUGGGCGCUGUGCCAGGCUGGGUCAGCCCUGAGGGCCGGGAGCUUCCCCUGGGCGGCCCGCUGCCUUGUCUCUGGCCCGAGGCUCCGUACAAAGCCCCUCCACAGAUGCGUGUGCGGGCAAACCCAGCCUGUGAGCACAAAAAAGAACCCACAGAGAACUUAGGCUCAAGAUGUCUUUCCACCUCACCCCAGAUGUCCGGAGAAGUCGAGCUCAACAGAGGUUUCCAACAGAGAGAAUCGUCCCGUGUGAGGUUCUCGGAUAACAUGGGCAUGUUGGGCAACGGCACGUUCCCCCACACGUCCACACCACCUUUACGUUUACUGCGAUCUUGGGCAUGAGAGCUGUUGGAUUCGGGGCUGGCAGGGCAGUGACGAGGCUGCUCUGGGACUGAGCUUUCCCGGGACAUGGGCUUCCGGGGGUGGGACGAGGAAGGUCCCUCGCAAAAUGGAUGUUGGGCACGUUAGCCAGAGGCAUCUUCUUACAGAGGAAGUUACUGAAGGCUGAAGACGCCCGUGGCCCCCCGCGUUGGUGCAGCCGGUCAGAGGCUGAAGCGAAUGCGCCCCCCAGGUCUCCCGACCCCCACGUGCCAUGCCACCACCCCGUGCAGACAUCGGGAUGGCGGUGGUCGCGCUGGCUCCCGGGCGGCCCUCCGCCCCCAUCCUCCCUGGUACCACCUACGUGAAGUUCAAGUCUACCGGGGUUCAAAAGACGGUUUAAAAACAACAUCCGAAACGUCUUCCAAUAGUUCAUGACUAAUGGGCUGGACUUGGCUGUCCAAUAAAUUGUCUACUCGCCGCUGCAGUUACACGGACGACCCUCAGGUGCCCUUAUCAGCACUUGAUGCUUGUGUAAACCAACCCUCAUUAACGACAGGAUGAAAGCAGGGACACUGUGCAGGCCUCCACCUGCUGUCCUCCUCACCCUUUGAAGCCCAGCUGCUAAUAGCGCCGCCGACCACAGACCUAAAAGUGGGUGGCAGGUUAUGCAGACAUGUCUCCUUUCGAACUGCUGAUGCCGGUUGUCACUUCUGCCAGAGGCUGCUUCUGUUCUUGUUGGUCACAGCAGAGCUGCCCUCGUGGGGCACAGUGAUAUCCCUACCCGAGAGAUUUGAAGAUGUGAUCAUAGAUGUGUUAAAGUUUUUACACACUGUUCACUUAAAAACAGGAUAUUUUAUCUAAAAACCGAGAGCUCUGGCUUUUCUUGCUCAGUCGGGAGACCCACCCACAGCUGGACCUUCCCUGUGGCGGCGGUUGGCUGGAUGUGGGUAGGGCCGUCCCCAGGAUGGGGACAUGCCCUGUUGUCCUGCACCAGCUCGCUGUGUCCAUAAGCCCCACACCCGGCCACUAUACACGAUGAAGUCUGGGUCUCUCAUUCUAGUCCUUAAAACCCCCACUAGGAGAGAAGAGAUGGGAAAGAGGGUACAAGAGGUGUAGAAAGAACCCCUGGCAGGAAGUCACCUGUCUGGUGGUCUGGCAUUGUG